UCUUAGCUCAGUGGUAGAGCAUCUACUUAGCAUGCGGAAGGUUCUAGAUUCAAUCUCCAGCAUCUCAC
RNAcentral lists this transfer RNA (68 nucleotides) under Sphaerodactylus townsendi. Its description in RNAcentral is "tRNA-Ala". The record is from RNAcentral. Lineage: Eukaryota; Metazoa; Chordata; Lepidosauria; Squamata; Sphaerodactylidae.